AGUACCUUAGUCUUAGCAUUGACUGAUCUUUUUUCGCAAGAAUAAGAUAUUUGUAAUUUGCAAAUAUAUUUUCUCUUGAUUAGGGACAACCAUUUAAAUUUACCACAUAAAAUUAGUUGCCUGUAGAGAUCACACGUGAUGAAGCAUUAGUGGCCACAGUUGUGGCCAGUUCACUAAUGAUCAGACUAAGAAGACCGAACAAGCAAGGAGAGACCUCUAUAGAUAUAUGCACUACCACAACAGAUACAAGGCUCACACCGACUCUCUUAAGCAGGAAGCAAAGCUUAAGAAUGAGAUCCAAGGGAAGAUAUCCAUUUCAGAAAAUAAGGAGUCAAAGAUAAAAGAUUAUGCACUACCACUUGAUGUCACUCAACAUGUAAUCAGAAGCAGGGGAACAUCAGAGACAUGCAGAUUAUCUCACCUGAUGGUAGGUUUUGCCAUUCUCUGUAUCGUAGAUCCAGUGACCAACAACCUGGACUCAUAGCGCCUGGUUGCGCUUCUUGGCCUUGACAUCUUGCGCUAUGACCUCCAGCGGUUGCGGACCUGUGCAAAGAAUGAAUUCCUGAAAGAAGUCCCCCCUCUCAGAGAGUAGAAAUGUAUGGGGAGUGUAUGAAGUUUAAAUUAAAGGCUGGAUGCGGACCUGUGCAAUAUAUAUGGGUAUGCUUCAUCAACAAUGGCAAGUUCAGGAUCUCCCACCAAAGCUAUCCCUUCUAAUACUCCAAU
RNAcentral lists this long non-coding RNA (723 nucleotides) under Zea mays. RNAcentral describes it as "long non-coding RNA (ZMAY_LNC000423)". Lineage: Eukaryota; Viridiplantae; Streptophyta; Magnoliopsida; Poales; Poaceae. The record is from RNAcentral.